This 794-nucleotide ribosomal RNA is filed under the name Dasysyrphus albostriatus. RNAcentral's name for it is "12S ribosomal RNA". The record is from RNAcentral. Lineage: Eukaryota; Metazoa; Arthropoda; Insecta; Diptera; Syrphidae.
AUAAAGUUUUAUUUUAGCUUAAAAAAUUUAUUAUUAAUUUAUAUUAUAUGUAAAUUUUUGUGUGAUUUUGUAUUUAUUUUAAAAAUAAAUAUAUAAAAAUUUAAUAUUUGCAAUAAUUAAUAUUAUUAAUUAAAGAAAUUUAGAAAUAGAAAUAUUAAUUUAAUAUUGACUUAAUUUGUGCCAGCAGUUGCGGUUAUACAAAUAAUAUAAAUAAAUUUUAUUAAUAAUAGUUAAAUUAUUAGUUAUAGAAAUAAAAUUAAAUUUAUUAAGUGAAAUUUUAAAUUUAAAAAAUUUUUUCUAAAAAAAAUAUUGAAGCUAGAAAUUUUUAAUAAAAAACUAGGAUUAGAUACCCUAUUAUUUAAAAUGUAAAUAAAUUUAUUUGAGUAGUAUUAGUUAUAUUCUUGAAACUUAAAAAAUUUGGCGGUAUUUUAGUCUAUUCAGAGGAACUUGUUUUUUAAUCGAUAAUCCACGUUGUACCUUACUUAAAAUUGUUAAUCAAUUUAUAUAUCGUUGUUAUUAGAAUAUUUUAUAAGAAUAAUAAUUUUCUAUAAUUUAAAUUAAAAUUAAUAUCAAAUCAAGGUGUAGUUUAUUUUUAAGUAUAAAUGAGUUACAAUAAAAUAUAUUUUUGGAUUUAAAUAUGAAAAAUUUAAUUAAAUUGGAUUUGAUAGUAAAAUUAUAAAGAUAAAUAAUUUGAUUUUAGCUCUAAAAUAUGUACAUAUCGCCCGUCACUCUUGUUAUUAAAAUAAGAUAAGUCGUAACAUAGUAGAUGUACUGGAAAGUGUAUCUAGAAUCAA